GACGAAGGGGGCUAGCGUUGUUCGGAAUUACUGGGCGUAAAGCGCGUGUAGGCGGUUGUUCAAGUCAGGUGUGAAAGCCUUGAGCUCAACUCAAGAAAUGCACUUGAUACUGGAUGACUAGAGGACCGGAGAGGAUAGUGGAAUUCCCAGUGUAGUGGUGAAAUACGUAGAGAUUGGGAAGAACACCAGUGGCGAAGGCAGCAGAUUGGGCCGGUAUUGACGCUCAGGCACGAAAGCAUGGGGAUCAAACAGG
Molecule: ribosomal RNA, 253 nt
Filed under: uncultured bacterium
Lineage: Bacteria
Description: partial 16S ribosomal RNA
Rfam family: Bacterial small subunit ribosomal RNA
Source: RNAcentral